This is a non-coding RNA of Zootermopsis nevadensis, 257 nucleotides long. The record is from RefSeq and is a predicted model, not a curated record. NCBI's taxonomy places the organism in Eukaryota, Metazoa, Arthropoda, Insecta, Blattodea, Termopsidae.
GUCGGGUUCCGCAAACAUACCAGUUCAAUUCACAGUGGGUUGGCCUCGGAUUCGGACGCGACCGCUCUGCCCAGGGGUUGCCAAGCAACGCGUCGUAGCAAGUUGAUUCGAUCUGGCUGCCAUCUGGUGGCAUUCAGAACUGUUGGGGAAAAGCAGACCCGACAGUAACGCGCUACGGCGCUGAACUACGUCGAGGAACCUGAUGGCCACCAGGGACAUCAACGCAAUGUAAAUGUCAAAACCGAACCUAGCAAGAA